AGUGAGGCUGCGCAAAAGCUCGAAUUGGAAAUCUAGAACAAAAAGGGGUGUGAGAUGUAAGUUGAAGAUGGGAACCUUGGGUUUGGGUCUUGUCUAUGUUCCUUGUAACAGGACGUCAUAGAGGGGGAGAAUCCCGUCUGAUGAGAUGCCCAUUCCUAUGUAAGGUGCUAUCUAAGAGUCGAGAUGUUUGGGAAUGCAGCUCUAAGUGGGUGGUAAAUUCCAUCUAAAGCUAAAUAUUGGCGAGAGACCGAUAGCGAACAAGUACAGUGAUGGAAAGAUGAAAAGAACUUUGAAAAGAGAGUGAAAAAGUACGUGAAAUUGUUGAAAGGGAAGGGCAUUAGAUCAGACUUGGUGUUUUACGAUUAUCUUCUCUUCUUGAGUUGUGCACUCGUAUUUCACUGGGCCACCAUCGAUUCGGAUGGCAAGAUAAUGGCAGUUGAAUGUGGCUUCACUUCGGUGGAGUGUUAUAGCUUCUGCUGAUAUUGCCUGUCUGGAACGAGGGCUGCGUCUUUUUGACUAGGAUGCUGGCGUAAUGAUCUAAUGCCGCCCGUCUUGAAACAUGGACCAAGGGAGUCUAACGUCUAUGCGAGUGUUUGGGUGUAAAACCCGUACGCGUAAUGAAAAGUGAACGCACGAGAGAGCUCUUUUUUUUGAGUGCAUCAUCUACCGAUCCUGAUGUUUUCGGAUGGAUUUGAUCAGAACAAUCUGUUGCGUACCCGAAAGAUGCUGAACUAUGCCUGCAUAGGGUGAACCCGAGGACACUCUGGUGGAGGCUCGUCGCGGUCCUGACCUGCAAAUCGAUCGUCGGAUUUGGGUUACGGGGGGAACGACCUUACCUAACCAUCUGUAGCU
RNAcentral lists this ribosomal RNA (852 nucleotides) under Hansenula anomala. RNAcentral describes it as "Wickerhamomyces anomalus partial large subunit ribosomal RNA". It matches the Rfam family "Eukaryotic large subunit ribosomal RNA", at positions 92 to 952 of the family's 3401-position model. The record is from RNAcentral. Lineage: Eukaryota; Fungi; Ascomycota; Saccharomycetes; Phaffomycetales; Wickerhamomycetaceae.